AGUUGGUCCGAGCUGAGCAACAGAGCAGCACUUCUCAAAAGGGGCCAGCAGAUCCAAGGCUGAGAGGCAUGGAGUUUUAUGUCUGAGGCAAACACAGUGGAAGGAAAAGGAGAAGUGUUGCCAAUGUUUGUGUAGCCUUGCUGCCUGAUGUCCUGCAACUCUUGUACUGGGAUUUGCAUCAUGUGCCAGAACUUGAUGAGAAUGAUAUUUCAAGAUCAACUCAGAGCGUGGGUGGAUCCUGCUCCAAGACAUCAUUUUUUCUGACUUGAACUAGAAUUUACUUACUGGAGAGUCUAUUUACAUUGCUGACAGUGCUGUUUCCCUGAAUUGGAAAGUGACAUUUGAAAACUGCUGAUGGAGAUGAGAAAUCUUGGAAAGAGUUUGUCAUAGAUAUCACAUGGAAAUGGAGAGAAACUUCAGUAUAUUUAUGCUAAAGCAUUUCCAUGGAAGCAGGACACAAACUGAAUGGAGUGGUAUUUUCUGUGUUUCCAGGCCUGAUAAAUAAGGAAAGCACAGGGAGCACAAUGCGGCAUCUCCCCACUAG
Long non-coding RNA from Passer domesticus (house sparrow), 544 nucleotides. RefSeq lists it as uncharacterized. The record is from RefSeq and is a predicted model, not a curated record. The transcript is spliced from 3 exons. NCBI's taxonomy places the organism in Eukaryota, Metazoa, Chordata, Aves, Passeriformes, Passeridae.